GCCAAUGUAGCUCAGCUGGCAGAGCAACACUUUCGUAAAGCUCAGGUCGUCGGUUCGAAUCCGAUCAUUGGCUCCG
This 76-nucleotide transfer RNA is filed under the name Balneolaceae bacterium. Its description in RNAcentral is "tRNA-Thr". It matches the Rfam family "tRNA". From Rfam's summary of the family: Transfer RNA (tRNA) molecules are approximately 80 nucleotides in length. Their secondary structure includes four short double-helical elements and three loops (D, anti-codon, and T loops). The record is from RNAcentral. Lineage: Bacteria; Pseudomonadati; Balneolota; Balneolia; Balneolales; Balneolaceae.